GGUCUUACAUGCAGUCGAGCGGUAGGCCCUUCGGGGUACACGAGCGGCGAACGGGUGAGUAACACGUGAGCAACCUGCCCCUGACUCUGGGAUAAGCGGUGGAAACGCCGUCUAAUACCGGAUACGACCCGGCGCCUCAUGGCGGUGGGUGGAAAGUUUUUCGGUCGGGGAUGGGCUCGCGGCCUAUCAGCUUGUUGGUGGGGUAACGGCCUACCAAGGCGAUUACGGGUAGCCGGCCUGAGAGGGCGACCGGCCACACUGGGACUGAGACACGGCCCAGACUCCUGCGGGAGGCAGCAGUGGGGAAUAUUGCGCAAUGGGCGAAAGCCUGACGCAGCGACGCCGCGUGGGGGAUGACGGCCUUCGGGUUGUAAACCUCUUUUACCACCAACGCAGGCUUCCAGUUCUCUGGGGGUUGACGGUAGGUGGGGAAUAAGGACCGGCUAACUACGUGCCAGCAGCCGCGGUAAUACGUAGGGUCCGAGCGUUGUCCGGAAUUAUUGGGCGUAAAGAGCUCGUAGGCGGCGUGUCGCGUCUGCUGUGAAAGACCGGGGCUUAACUCCGGUUCUGCAGUGGAUACGGGCAUGCUAGAGGUAGGUAGGGGAGACUGGAAUUCCUGGUGUAGCGGUGAAAUGCGCAGAUAUCAGGAGGAACACCGGUGGCGAAGGCGGGUCUCUGGGCCUUACCUGACGCUGAGGAGCGAAAGCAUGGGGAGCGAACAGGAUUAGAUACCCUGGUAGUCCAUGCCGUAAACGUUGGGCGCUAGGUGUGGGGACUUUCCACGGUUUCCGCGCCGUAGCUAACGCAUUAAGCGCCCCGCCUGGGGAGUACGGCCGCAAGGCUAAAACUCAAAGGAAUUGACGGGGGCCCGCACAAGCGGCGGGAGCAUGUUGCUUAAUUCGACGCAACGCGAAGAACCUUACCAAAGGUUUGACAUCACCCGUGGACCUGCAGAGAUGUGGGGGUCAUUUAGUUGGGCGGGUGACAGUGGUGCAUGGCUGUCGUCAGCUCGUGUCGUGAGAUGUUGGGUUUAAGUCCCGCAACGAGCGCAACCCUUGUUCCAUGUUGCCCAGCC
RNAcentral lists this ribosomal RNA (1075 nucleotides) under Nocardiopsis dassonvillei. RNAcentral's name for it is "bacterial SSU rRNA". It matches the Rfam family "Bacterial small subunit ribosomal RNA", at positions 47 to 1124 of the family's 1533-position model. Lineage: Bacteria; Bacillati; Actinomycetota; Actinomycetes; Streptosporangiales; Nocardiopsidaceae. The record is from RNAcentral.